This 460-nucleotide ribosomal RNA is filed under the name uncultured bacterium. Its description in RNAcentral is "partial 16S ribosomal RNA". It matches the Rfam family "Bacterial small subunit ribosomal RNA", at positions 338 to 795 of the family's 1533-position model. The record is from RNAcentral.
CCUACGGGAGGCAGCAGUGAGGAAUAUUGGUCAAUGGACGAGAGCCUGAACCAGCCAAGUAGCGUGAAGGAUGACUGCCCUACGGGUUGUAAACUUCUUUUAUAAAGGAAUAAAGUGAGGCACGUGUGGCAUUUUGUAUGUACUAUAUGAAUAAGGAUCGGCUAACUCCGUGCCAGCAGCCGCGGUAAUACGGAGGAUCCGAGCGUUAUCCGGAUUUAUUGGGUUUAAAGGGAGCGUAGGUGGGUUGUUAAGUCAGUUGUGAAAGUUUGCGGCUCAACCGUAAAAUUGCAGUUGAUACUGGCAGUCUUGAGUACAGUAGAGGUAGGCGGAAUUCGUGGUGUAGCGGUGAAAUGCUUAGAUAUCACGAAGAACUCCGAUUGCGAAGGCAGCUUACUAAACUGCCACUGACACUGAGGCUCGAAAGUGUGGGUAUCAAACAGGAUUAGAUACCCGGGUAGUC